CAGCCGCGGUAAUACAUAGGGUGCAAGCGUUGUCCGGAAUUAUUGGGCGUAAAGAGCUCGUAGGUGGUUCGUCACGUCGGAUGUGAAACUCUGGGGCUUAACCCCAGACCUGCAUUCGAUACGGGCGAGCUUGAGUAUGGUAGGGGAGUCUGGAAUUCCUGGUGUAGCGGUGGAAUGCGCAGAUAUCAGGAGGAACACCAAUGGCGAAGGCAGGACUCUGGGCCAUUACUGACACUGAGGAGCGAAAGCGUGGGGAGCGAACAGGAUUAGAUACCCUGGUAGUCCACGCCGUAAACGGUGGGCACUAGUUGUGGGGACCUUCCACGGUCUCUGCGACGCAGCUAACGCAUUAAGUGCCCCGCCUGGGGAGUACGAUCGCAAGAUUAAAACUCAAAGGAAUUGACGGGGCCCCGCACAAGCAGCGGAGCAUGCGGCUUAAUUCGACGCAACGCGAAGAACCUUACCAAGGCUUGACAUAUACAGGAAUAUGGCAGAGAUGUCAUAGCCGCAAGGUCUGUAUACAGGUGGUGCAUGGUUGUCGUCAGCUCGUGUCGUGAGAUGUUGGGUUAAGUCCCGCAACGAGCGCAACCCUCGUUCUGUGUUGCCAGCAUUUAGUUGGGGACUCACAGGAGACUGCCGGGGUUAACUCGGAGGAAGGUGGGGAUGACGUCAAAUCAUCAUGCCCCUUAUGUCUUGGGCUGCACGCAUGCUACAAUGGCUGGUACAAACGGCUGCAAUACCGCAAGGUGGAGCGAAUCCGAGAAAGCCAGUCUCAGUUCGGAUUGGGGUCUGCAACUCGACCCCAUGAAGUCGGAGUUGCUAGUAAUCGUAGAUCAGCAACGCUACGGUGAAUACGUUCCCGGGGCUUGU
Molecule: ribosomal RNA, 870 nt
Filed under: uncultured Actinomycetes bacterium
Lineage: Bacteria; Bacillati; Actinomycetota; Actinomycetes
Description: bacterial SSU rRNA
Rfam family: Bacterial small subunit ribosomal RNA
Source: RNAcentral